Molecule: ribosomal RNA, 369 nt
Filed under: unidentified archaeon
Lineage: Archaea
Description: bacterial SSU rRNA
Rfam family: Archaeal small subunit ribosomal RNA
Source: RNAcentral
UCAGUAACACGUAGUCAACAUGCCCAGGGACGUGGAUAACCUCGGGAAACUGAGGAUAAACCGCGAUAAGUCACUACUUCUGGAAUGGGUAAUGACUCAAAUCUAUAUGGCCCCUGGAUUGGACUGCGGCCGAUCAGGCUGUUGGUGAGGUAAUGGCCCACCAAACCUGUAACCGGUACGGGCUCUGAGAGGAGGAGCCCGGAGAUGGGCACUGAGACAAGGGCCCAGGCCCUAUGGGGCGCAGCAGGCGCGAAACCUCUGCAAUAGGCGAAAGCUUGACAGGGUUACUCUGAGUGAUUCCCGUUAAGGAGAUCUUUUGGCACCUCUAAAAAUGGUGCAGAAUAAGGGGUGGGCAAGUCUGGUGCCAGC